UCCGAUAUGGUGUAGCGGUAACAUUACCGCCUCUCAGUGAAUUCCCUCCUUUGGCGUAGUCAGUAAACGGAGGCUCAAAGCACCUUGAACGCGGUAGCCCGGGGUUCGACCCCCCGUGUCGGAA
Non-coding RNA from Mycena latifolia, 124 nucleotides. Lineage: Eukaryota; Fungi; Basidiomycota; Agaricomycetes; Agaricales; Mycenaceae. The record is from the annotation of a GenBank genome assembly.